CCCCUUUCCCCGGUCGUCGGCCACUUCCCCGCCUCGCUUGCUGGCCCCCUGAGCCCGACCCUCCUCCCCUGUCCGAGAGGACGGGUACCCUCGGAAGCCUGAGUCGCACUGCAGACCCGUCCAAUGGCCUGAUGGGGCAGGAGAAACUCCCGGCUCCCCCUUGGACCCCCUGGCAGCCUGGGCGUCCCGGCGGCUCCGGGGACCCGCUGGGGCGGGGGACUGCGGCACCCGAGCAUGGCAGGAGCCUCAGUGAGCAGACGGCCGGCCUGGAGCGUGGCCAACACUGGCGCGACCCCUAGGUGGCAGCAAAGGCCCGAGAAAGCGGUACCAGACCGGUGCCUCCCUUCCACCUUAAACACAGAGGAGAGAAACAUCCUCGCACCCCAAGGUGACUUGAACCCUGACUUGCCGCCACAGGAGAAGAGACAAGGCAGAGAGAGGAGAGGCUAACAGGGAGGGGCCAUAGGAAGUGAUGGUUCAGAACACAGAUGCUCUCAUACCUGCCAUCCGGACCAUGUGACUGCGGGAGUCUCCUCACCUCUCUGGGGCUCAAUGUCCUUACCUGUAAUAUUAGGGACAGGAUCGGUACCUGCUUCACAGGACGUUUUGGGGAUUAACUGAUGCUGCGUGGAAAUCACUUAGCACCGUGCCUGGCACGCAGUAAGCGCUCUGUAGUCGCAUUAAUAAACGUAAACAACAUCCCAUGGGCCACCAAGACCAUA
Lemur catta (Ring-tailed lemur) is the source of this 722-nucleotide long non-coding RNA. RefSeq lists it as uncharacterized. The record is from RefSeq and is a predicted model, not a curated record. Lineage: Eukaryota; Metazoa; Chordata; Mammalia; Primates; Lemuridae. The transcript has 2 exons.